AAACAAUGUCGAGGACAUUUCUGCAAUAGCUCAUUCAACCUAUCACAUAUUUCAAAAAGAGACUCCAAUUCCAUUUGGACAAAGGAGGAUAUUUCAUUCCUGAGCUU
Small nucleolar RNA from Dioscorea cayenensis subsp. rotundata (Guinea yam), 107 nucleotides. The record is from RefSeq and is a predicted model, not a curated record. NCBI's taxonomy places the organism in Eukaryota, Viridiplantae, Streptophyta, Magnoliopsida, Dioscoreales, Dioscoreaceae.